GUGUCGCAAGAGUGGUUAAAUGCAUAGGAGUAAAAGAAAUGGAGUGGCGUACGGAUUUUUUUUUUUUUUUGUGGGAAAUUUAAGCGGACAUUCUAAGAAAACAACUCAUGUUAUGAUAAGAUGGCCAGCAAUCAAGAAAGACAUUGUAACGCGUCGACUCUUUCGGCUUCCGUCGUAAAGCGGCGUUGUUUCCUCAAGUCAUUUUCAAGCUCAUUUUUGGGGAACCAGCGGACGAUUGGAAAAGGCCCAUAUAAGAAGCAAGCAAAGGAUUGGCUAAAAUACAUGUUUUGGACUUUUAAUACCCUUCGAAAAAGUUUGUCAUCAGCAGAGGAGGGAGGGAGUAAACUAAAGAUCCUGGUGAGGAAUAACAGUAAAUAAAUUAUAUUGUAUAUAGCUACAAUAUAAGUAUAGCUAGCUACAAUUUGUGUGUUUGGCUAUUUAAAUUUAAAAGAAAAAGCUGCUUGUUGGCAAGGUUCUCCCAGCCCGACUAGAUGAAUUUGGGCAAACACCCGUUUAGUCAAUCCGUUAGACCUGUUCAAUCAGAAACAGAGAGAGCAGUUGUGACCAACAAACCAUGUUAGGCUGAUUUAAGGUGUUUUUCAGCAGGAUAAAAACUAGCUCAAAGCUAACAUUGAUGUUCAGUAAGCCUAUAAGUAAUAAACUUAAACGUUAGAUGUUAA
Long non-coding RNA from Carassius gibelio (silver crucian carp), 680 nucleotides. RefSeq lists it as uncharacterized. The record is from RefSeq and is a predicted model, not a curated record. The transcript has 2 exons. NCBI's taxonomy places the organism in Eukaryota, Metazoa, Chordata, Actinopteri, Cypriniformes, Cyprinidae.